This 358-nucleotide long non-coding RNA is filed under the name Lathyrus oleraceus (garden pea). RNAcentral describes it as "Pisum sativum (pea) long non-coding RNA (PSAT_LNC019677)". The record is from RNAcentral. Lineage: Eukaryota; Viridiplantae; Streptophyta; Magnoliopsida; Fabales; Fabaceae.
GCUGCAACAAACGUUGAAUGUAAGUAAUUUUUAUGCUUUUUUUCGAAUUUUCUUAUUUACUUUUUGCACAAUUUUUUAAUCAAUCUAAUUUAUAUUACCUUAUCAUUUUUUCUCCUUUCAGCGUGGAAUGGUGAAAGACGUUGUUUAAAAGAUUCAGAUUGUAUAAAUAAGUGUAGAAAACCAACUAUAAUUAAGUGUGUAGAUCGUUAUUGUAAAUGUAUACCUGUAUUUCAACCCCAAUCCUAGAGUACCCAAUUUCACUAAAACAAUUUUUCUAUCACUUAAUUAUUAUGUUUGUAUUAGCACAUUAUAGUUUUAUUUUUCCUUCUAUAUCUAAUAUCAAGAUUGGUAUUUUGAA